GACGAACGCUGGCGGCGUGCCUAAUACAUGCAAGUUGAGCGCUGAAGGUUGGUACUUGUACCAACUGGAUGAGCAGCGCACGGGUGAGUAACGCGUGGGGAAUCUGCCUUUGAGCGGGGGACAACAUUUGGAAACGAAUGCUAAUACCGCAUAAAAACUUUAAACACAAGUUUUAAGUUUGAAAGAUGCAAUUGCAUCACUCAAAGAUGAUCCCGCGUUGCAUUAGCUAGUUGGUGAGGUAAAGGCUCACCAAGGCGAUGAUACAUAGCCGACCUGAGAGGGUGAGCGGCCACAUUGGGACUGAGACACGGCCCAAACUCCUACGGGAGGCAGCAGUAGGGAAUCUUCGGCAAGGGACGAAAGUCUGACCGAGCAACGCCGCGUGAGUGAAGAAGGUUGUCGGAUCGGAAAACUCUGUUGGUAGAGAAGAACGUUGGUGAGAGUGGAAAGCUCAUCAAGUGACGGUAACUACCCAGAAAGGGACGGCUAACUACGUG
Molecule: ribosomal RNA, 497 nt
Filed under: uncultured bacterium
Lineage: Bacteria
Description: partial 16S ribosomal RNA
Rfam family: Bacterial small subunit ribosomal RNA
Source: RNAcentral